This 480-nucleotide ribosomal RNA is filed under the name uncultured bacterium. RNAcentral's name for it is "partial 16S ribosomal RNA". It matches the Rfam family "Bacterial small subunit ribosomal RNA", at positions 28 to 523 of the family's 1533-position model. The record is from RNAcentral.
GACGAACGCUGGCGGCGUGCUUAACACAUGCAAGUCGAGCGAUGAAGCACCUUCGGGUGUGGAUUAGCGGCGGACGGGUGAGGAACACGUGAGGAAUCUGCCUUCCACUCUGGGAUAACUCCGGGAAACCGGGGCUAAUACCGGAUACUUUCAACUGGCGGCAUCGCCGGUUGAAGAAAGUUUUUCGGUGGAAGAUGACCUCGCGGCCUAUCAGCUUGUUGGUGAGGUAAUGGCUCACCAAGGCGACGACGGGUAGCCGGCCUGAGAGGGCGACCGGCCACACUGGGACUGAGACACGGCCCAGACUCCUACGGGAGGCAGCAGUGGGGAAUAUUGGGCAAUGGAGGAAACUCUGACCCAGCGACGCCGCGUGAGGGAUGAAGGCCUUCGGGUUGUAAACCUCUUUCAGCAGGGAAUAAGCGAAAGUGAAGGUACCUGCAGAAGAAGCACCGGCUAACUAUGUGCCAGCAGCCGCAGUAA